RNAcentral lists this non-coding RNA (67 nucleotides) under Magnetococcales bacterium. The record is from RNAcentral. Lineage: Bacteria; Pseudomonadati; Pseudomonadota; Magnetococcia; Magnetococcales.
GAGCGAAACCGCCUCGAAAGGGGCGGUCGUCGGGGCGUGGUGGCCCUGGCCUGAUGAGCAGCCUGAC